ACGACUACGUUGACACCUCAGACCUGGCCAUUUAUAGGGAUGACGACCGGGGGAGGCCGCCCCCCCAAAUGGAGUUACCGUUGGUACCGCCGGCCAUGUGCUACCGUAAACUAGCUGCUUUCUUGGAGUUAGAUUGUUCUAUGGCAACGUUGCUGAUAUGUCAGGCAAAGGCGCAAGGGCGCGACCACAGUUGCCGGCGAAAUGCUAAUGCAACCGCCACAGACGAAGCACAAAGGAUGGCAAGCCACAAAGCUUUACACAUAUAUGUGUAAGGCCACAUAAGUCCGAUAAACAAUGGCCAGCUCGCUUGGGCUCAGUCAACUCGCCCGCUUGGCCCAGGAAAUCUCAAGUCCCGAAGGCCUCCGCAAGCCGAAUGUUUUCAUGGAGACUGGAUCUAAAGGAAAUGUUUCAAGUGACGGGGAAGCCCGGCGGUAGAGAUCAUCGGCUCCACCAACUCCCGAUCCGCACCGGAACCAAACUGGAAUGUCGGACGAAAAACUCACAAACAGGCUAUACUGCGUGGCUAUUUCCACACGGCUUCAUGUAUACAAGUUACAGCACGGCUUCAUGUGUAGAAGCUACUAAGUAUAGCGUCAUUUAUUCCGCCCAAAGCGAUUGCCACCCAAAGGUUACGCGCAUAGGAGCGUUAGUGCGUCUUUACCCAUCUGCUAAAUGUAAAUAUGCCUGAAGAUGAUAAUGAAUCCCUUAGUUCGAUAGACAGUAACGACUCCUGGCUCGGCGAAAUCGUUGCAGCGACAGUCCCACAAAUGACAGCGACAGCGACACCGAGUGAGACACUGACAGUUUAACUGAUGGCGAGACAGUCGUCACCGGCGCUGGGGCAGCGGGACUGCUUGCCGCAGUGGGCACAGGCGCACAGGCGGCCGCAUAACGUGGCGAAACUCUUCAGGUAUAUCUUGCCCAUGCUCAUGUGCGCCGUAUGGCUUGUCCCCCGUUGGAAACAAGUCAAUACCGUUUGUGGCGUUCUUGCCGAAUGGCUCCGCAUCCCGCAGGGUCCGCUCCAGAAUCCCUCCCCGCCACAUCCGGAUAUGCUGGCGUUCAUGGAGUUCCAAUCUAUAGUGGACAGGGAUAAGGAUUGUAACAACGAGUGACCCUGUCAGGCGAUAGCGCUUACAACCCCAUGGGUCAGACGCCCCUUCCUUAGCAAUAGGAUUUGCGUUCGGUCCCUUAUCUUCACUACAUGCACAAAGUACGGCUGGCCCCGAUUGCGCUAUGUGUGGCUUCCCCGCUACUUUCCUGUGCACCGCCAACACCGUGGCGGAGCGUGUUUUCGACAUCUACUAAAGCCCCCCCGUGCGCAGCGCCGUUCCAACAGCAGUGGCGGCAGCACCGCCAAAGACAGUCAACACAAACGAAAGCAUCGUGGACCUGAAACACUAUUAAUUCGUACUACGGUACGAUGUACUCUAAAUAAUUACGGUAUUCUGCCCUUAUAUGUCUGUAUGUGUGUCUGUAUGUUCGCAUUUCGCGCCACAUUCAGAUGAACAUGCAAACACAACAUACAUACACAUACACACACUCGUCCAUGCACAAUGAUGUAACGCUCACGACCAGAGCACAGAACCCCAACGCGUUUCCCAUGCUCUACCGCUGCUGUGCUAGCAGUCCUACCACUAUCACUAGUCGGCAACCAUCCAAAGCAAAACAAAGAUCUCAACUACAUAAAGCAUGUUCGGAUUCUCUCCGAUUUUGGAUUGAGUUUAUCGAUACUCAAUAAUAGUAAAAACCCCGGUAUUGUCGUAUGGUGUUACGUAUGCACAUUCAAAUUAUUGUUCUCUCCGGCCUCUCGCAUUCCGACAUCUUCCCUCUUCAACUUCACCAACCAAGCACCAACAAACCAACUGUUUUUUUCACAACGACAAUGGUGGAAAGAGUUUAGAUGGAUCAUGUACGACCGGUACGACGGCACGAGGAUGGAAGGCAAACGAAAUGGCGAUAAAACCGGACGGCCUUCGGGACGAGGACAAAUGUUUUGGGCAACAAAAACAUUUGUGAAGUUCGAAUUCACAUGAUAUCACACACAUACGCACAUACAUACACAUGCACACAGAGGGGGAAAGAGGAGGGGAGGGUGGUAGAGAGGGAACCCAUACCCAAAGGUUUUUGCGGUGGCGUGUUCGCUUUCCCCUACUCGCGACAAGCCCGGGCUAUCACCGCUAUCCCUGUCCCCUCAAACACAAAACCCCCAAAUAACCCCCCCCCAACACACACACACUCACCACCCCCACCACCGUUCUCGUUACCCAUCCAUUAAGCCAGCCUCCAGAAAUCUGUUUCAAAACCAAUCCUUCCUAGAUCUCAUCCAUCUCCUUAUAUUUCCUAAAUCUCCGUUGUUCCAAAUCUACCGCAGAUAACACGAUAACACAAACGAUGCGCCGUACCGUACGUACGGCAAAGACACGCCUAAUGCAAACCCAACAUCGUAACACUGCACAAAAAUAACACAUCAUAUCACACAAUAUGUACUUUGUUUUAUAAUUAGAUGAUGCAUCAAACCCGCCCCCGAGCAUCACGACAGAUCAAUCGAGAUUUCACUUAACCCCCCGGGGAAGAUCGGAUGGACACAGACACACACACACACACACACACAUACAUACACACGCGCCGCAGUAGCCUCUCUCCAAACAACCUCCCUCCCUCCCUCCCCGCUCCAUCCCAUCGCCAUCCCCUUUACCUUCCCCCCAACCCCCGCGGGUAAGGCCCGGGUGGGGGGUAGGCGUGGGGGUUAGGCGAAACAACUCGUUCCCCCCGACCAAUCGCCCCCACCCCCCCACCCCGGUGAGAAAAACACACAGACAGGGAACCAGCAGCUUCCCUUCAGGCACGGGCCCCAAGUCCCCCCCUCUAACCACACACCACACCACACCUACACAUACACACACGCGCACUCUCUCACUCACGCAACCCCCCCCCACCACCUCUCAAAACAACAACCAGCACUAACCCAAAACUCUCCCUCCGCUGCCUCCCCCUC
Molecule: long non-coding RNA, 2995 nt
Filed under: Volvox carteri
Lineage: Eukaryota; Viridiplantae; Chlorophyta; Chlorophyceae; Chlamydomonadales; Volvocaceae
Description: long non-coding RNA (VCAR_LNC001335)
Source: RNAcentral